CCCAAAAAGGAGGUACUUUCUUGGUUGAGAAGCAAGUAGCCCUAGAAGAGAGCUAACGUCCCUAGUAGCCACUGCUCUGAACUCAAUUUCAUCUCAGUCCGCUUAGGCCCACUCAUUCCAUGGCCAAAGGACUGCCCUAAAGUUACUAAGAGUCCUGGAAGUUUAAUCCCUUCGCUUUUGGAAUAAACGCAAGCCUUCCUGGCCUGGCCCUGA
Mastomys coucha (southern multimammate mouse) is the source of this 213-nucleotide long non-coding RNA. RefSeq lists it as uncharacterized. The transcript is spliced from 2 exons. NCBI's taxonomy places the organism in Eukaryota, Metazoa, Chordata, Mammalia, Rodentia, Muridae. The record is from RefSeq and is a predicted model, not a curated record.